RNAcentral lists this ribosomal RNA (417 nucleotides) under Anaerosporomusa subterranea. RNAcentral's name for it is "bacterial SSU rRNA". It matches the Rfam family "Bacterial small subunit ribosomal RNA", at positions 1089 to 1504 of the family's 1533-position model. Lineage: Bacteria; Bacillati; Bacillota; Negativicutes; Acetonemataceae. The record is from RNAcentral.
AUAACGAGCGCAACCCUUAUCUUUUGUUGCCAGCAGGUAGAGCUGGGCACUCAAGAGAGACUGCCGUCGACAAGACGGAGGAAGGCGGGGAUGACGUCAAGUCAUCAUGCCCCUUAUGUCCUGGGCUACACACGUACUACAAUGGGUGUAAACAGAGGGCAGCGAAGCCGCGAGGCGGAGCAAAUCCCAUAAAUACACUCUCAGUUCGGAUCGGAGGCUGCAACUCGCCUCCGUGAAGUCGGAAUCGCUAGUAAUCGCAGAUCAGCAUGCUGCGGUGAAUACGUUCCCGGGCCUUGUACACACCGCCCGUCACACCACGAAAGUUGGAAACACCCGAAGCCGGUGGGGUAACCGCAAGGAGCCAGCCGUCGAAGGUGGGGCCGAUGAUUGGGGUGAAGUCAUAACAAGGUAACCGUA